GUGGGGAAUAUUGGACAAUGGGCGAAAGCCUGAUCCAGCAAUGCCGCGUGAGUGAUGAAGGCCCUAGGGUUGUAAAGCUCUUUCAGUGGGGACGAUAAUGACGGUACCCACAGAAGAAGCCCCGGCUAACUUCGUGCCAGCAGCCGCGGUAAUACGAAGGGGGCUAGCGUUGUUCGGAUUUACUGGGCGUAAAGCGCACGUAGGCGGAUCGUUAAGUCGAGGGUGAAAUCCUGGAGCUCAACUCCAGAACUGCCUUCGAUACUGGCGAUCUUGAGUCCGGAAGAGGUGAGUGGAACUCCUAGUGUAGAGGUGGAAUUCGUAGAUAUUAGGAAGAACACCAGUGGCGAAGGCGGCUCACUGGUCCGGUACUGACGCUGAGGUGCGAAAGCGUGGGGAGCAAACAGGAUUAGAUACCCGUGUAGUCC
RNAcentral lists this ribosomal RNA (425 nucleotides) under uncultured bacterium. RNAcentral describes it as "partial 16S ribosomal RNA". It matches the Rfam family "Bacterial small subunit ribosomal RNA", at positions 354 to 796 of the family's 1533-position model. The record is from RNAcentral.